CUGGUCAGUAGAAGGAGCCAUCCUCGGUUUAUUGACUCACUACAUCUCCCAGCAGCCCCUCCCAUCGAUGAUCCACGCCACAGCCCUGCGCUCUCCGUAACCGAGUGUCAACUUGGACGCCGUUCCCCCGACCAUUAUUCUUUCUAAUUGAGCAAAGAUGAAGACAAAUGGCGGCGAUGAGAAAGGGCAGAAGAGUUUCUGUGAUUUAUACCGCUUUGGAGCGUGUGGGUGGUGCGUCAGAGGACGGCUUGCUAGAGCGCCCUUUCCACCGCUUCUCCCUUUGGACCUCAAGGAGAACGGCUCUGCUGCAUCAUAAAUCUUGGGCCAACAGAGAAGGUUGCUUGGUUAUGAGAGGGGAAGUCUGGGAGCGGGUGUGAGGGAAGGAAAGGACGACCGAUUGCCAGGUCAUCGCUCGUGGCGCCGCUCAGCAGCGUUACCUUGACAAACUAAAGUGGAGGAAAACGCACGACUAGCUUCCACAACUCAUUAGCGAGCGAUCAUAGCUGUUUCAUGUUGUCGGAUACCUGGGCGGCUUCGCUGCACCGCUGUGCCGAUUCUCUUUGAUGAAGACUUCAGAGGGAAAUCAUGAAUGAAAAGCAGAGAACUCUGCACGCUCCACUUCCUUCAGCAGCCCUGAAAACACACAAAUGAGCGCACACCUGUUUGUAAAAGUCCGACUGCUUCCGGCAGCCUCACACAUACCAGAGGACGGCUAACGACAUUCACAGCCGCGGCGUGAUUACACGGCGUGUUAACACCCCCGAACACAGGCGGCCUCAGGAGGGAGAGGAAUUUCUGCAGCCCGACACAGAUGUUAUCAGAACCACCAGCCUGGAGGUGACCACCGCUGUGCGCCUGUUCUACCGAACCCCACAGCGCCCCCCCUGCAGGUCCUUCAUAAAGAACCGAGGGGUUAAAUAAAGGAACAAAAGGCAACCACUCGGUUUGUAUGGGGCUCCAUUUGUGCCAAAUAUGUUUUUGCCUCCACUGCUAUGUCUUUGGUCCAUUGUCUAGUGAACAAGUUUGUUGUUCAUGUAUAUGUAGUACUGAGAAAUAUCUUAAGUGUCUUCAUGUUCUUAUGAUGAUUGUUUUGUAUUUGGUUUAUGAUGUUUCAGCUUGCUUGAUUUCUAAAACUGUUUUUUAUUUGCUUUUGUUGUUAGCUGACAGAACUGUCAGAAAAGUCCUUAGCAACAGUUGCUAGCAUUGUUAGCUCCUGUCGUUACACAGAGGUGUCAGAAAAAUCCCAAAGCAAUUGUUGCUGGACGCCAUACUCCUAGCUAGCAUUGAUGGCGCGGCGGCAAAAGCGGCAGAAUUUGUAUUUAGGAGCUUCUGGGAUCAAAUCCCACUUGGAGCCCAUAGUGUUUUGUUUUGUUUUUUUUUAACCCCAAACUGUUCAAUGCAGGUACACUAAACAUUUUUAAGCUGGACCACCACUACAAAUGACAAAAUGGCCUUUUUUUUUUUUUUUGUAUUUUUAAACAAUCAACAUUCCCUCAAUGUUUGCACUAUGGAGACAGUCAGUGUUAAAAGGGAUUUUGAACUUGCAAUAUUUUUACCAUCCACUAGAUGGCGCAGCGGCAUUAGCAACAGAUUUUGAAAUCAGAAGCUCCUGGAAUCGAAUCCCACUGUGUUUUUUUUUUUUUUUUUAACCCAAAACUGUUCAAUGCAGGUACACAAAACAUGCUAAGGACUUUUCUGACAACUCUGUGUAACAAUAGGAGCUAACAAUGUUAGCAACGGUUGCUAAAGUCUUUUCAGACCACGUAGUGUAACGACAGGAGCUAACAACACUAGCCACUGCUACGAAGGACUCUACUGACUGUUCUCUGUAACGACAGGAGCUAAUGACGCUAGCAACGGUUGCUAAAGACUUUUCAGACCGCAUAGUGUAAUGAAAAGGGCUAAUGACGCUAGCAACGGUCGCUAAGAACUUUUCUGACCACUCUGUGUAACGACAGGAGCUAACGAUGCUAGCAACGGUUGCUAAGGACUUUCAGACUGUGUAGUAAAAAAACAGGAGCUAACAACUCUAGCAACUCCUACUCUACUGACUGUUCUCUGUAACGGCAGGAGCUAAUGACGCUAGCAACGCUUGCUAAAGACUUUUCAGACUGCGUAGUGUAACGAAAGGGGCUGAUAACUAAAUCAAAGACAAUACAAAGUUUCAAAAGUAAAGCAAGCUGAAACCUCUCAAAGCGAAUACAAAGUAAUCAUCAUAAAAACAUGAACACGCUAAAGAUAUUGCUUAGUAAUACAUAGACAAAUGUUAGUUUAGUAGAAAAUGGACCAAACUAAACCCCAUAGAUCUGUAGAUCCACAGUGAUGGUUUAGACUCUCACUUGUCAUUUCUUCAACCACCAUCCAUCAUUCAGAUCUGCAGGUUGAUGAUUAAUGAGAUUCUCCUCGUGUCACAGCCUCGGGGCUUAAGAGAGGAAUUAGAUUUUCAAAUACAGCAGAAGCAUAACGAGGAGUCUGUAUCUGAACUCUUCCACAGACGCCCCCGGACGACCUUUUCUCAAUAUCUGUGAAUUUGACUUUAAUUCGUUUAUUGACUCCAACUUCAAACAUGUGGGAUCAACCUGGAGAGACGAGGGAAUAAAAACGGACUUUUUCUCGAUAAACUCAUCCAGCAGGCAUCGGACCAGUUUUUAAAAUAAAUUCAAGACCGAAGAAUUCAGAAAAAGCCGAGAGGAUCAAACGGGAGGUCGCUGAUGAAGCUUUUCAGCCUGAAAAGAGAAGAAAUCUGCAGCAGCUGGACGAACAAAGGUGCAAUCUUCACAUGAGGAGAACUAAAAGACAUUUAAAGAAAAUAGGGAGUUAAAAGUUAAUUCAUGAAUAAUAGAUUCAGAACAAAAUGACCAGAUAGAAAACAGAAAGAUAGCCUCUCUUCCUGAGUGUAUCCAUCAUUUCUUUAAAUAAAAGAACUCUAAAUGAGGAAAUAAAAAAGAAAAAA
Molecule: long non-coding RNA, 2953 nt
Organism: Oryzias melastigma (Indian medaka)
Lineage: Eukaryota; Metazoa; Chordata; Actinopteri; Beloniformes; Adrianichthyidae
Exons: 2
Source: RefSeq, a predicted model, not a curated record